This is a non-coding RNA of Caenorhabditis elegans, 220 nucleotides long. The record is from Ensembl. NCBI's taxonomy places the organism in Eukaryota, Metazoa, Nematoda, Chromadorea, Rhabditida, Rhabditidae.
AGGAGUCAGUCAUUUCUCAGAUGAUGUCCCGUUCAUCAUCGUCUUUUGCCCUCAAAUUCUCCGGCUGACUGCGCUCGGCGAAAAAGUAUAAGGUUUCACUGGUAAUCGAGACUUUUGGGCCCGAGAAAUAACGGCCGGAACACAGAGACAACAGACGGAGGCAAUUGAGAAAAUGGGUCUCUUCUCAUCGUUUAUUUCGGUGGUUUAGAUAGAUGACCAC